RNAcentral lists this ribosomal RNA (465 nucleotides) under uncultured bacterium. RNAcentral's name for it is "partial 16S ribosomal RNA". It matches the Rfam family "Bacterial small subunit ribosomal RNA", at positions 28 to 507 of the family's 1533-position model. The record is from RNAcentral.
GACGAACGCUGGCGGCGUGCUUAACACAUGCAAGUCGUACGGUAAGGCCCUUUCGGGGGUACACGAGUGGCGAACGGGUGAGUAACACGUGAGUAACCUGCCCACAACUUUGGGAUAAUGCUAGGAAACUGGUGCUAAUACUGGAUAUGUGCUCCUGCUGCAUGGUGGGGGUUGGAAAGCUCCGGCGGUUGUGGAUGGACUCGCGGCCUAUCAGCUUGUUUGUGGGGUAGUGGCCUACCAAGGCGGCGACGGGUAGCCGGCCUGAGAGGGUGACCGGCCACAUUAGGACUGAGAUACGGCCCAGACUCCUACGGGAGGCAGCAGUGGGGAAUAUUGCACAAUGGGCGCAAGCCUGAUGCAGCAACGCCGCGUGCGGGAUGACGGCCUUCGGGUUGUAAACCGCUUUCAGCAGGGACGAAGCUUUUUGUGACGGUACCUGCAGAAGAAGCACCGGCUAACUACGUG